This 275-nucleotide ribosomal RNA is filed under the name uncultured bacterium. RNAcentral's name for it is "partial 16S ribosomal RNA". It matches the Rfam family "Bacterial small subunit ribosomal RNA", at positions 399 to 691 of the family's 1533-position model. The record is from RNAcentral.
GCGUGAGUGAUGAAGGCCUUAGGGUUGUAAAGCUCUUUCGACGGGGACGAUGAUGACGGUACCCGUAGAAGAAGCCCCGGCUAACUUCGUGCCAGCAGCCGCGGUAAUACGAAGGGGGCUAGCGUUGUCCGGAAUUACUGGGCGUAAAGCGCGCGUAGGCGGCUACACAAGUCGGGCGUGAAAGCCCGGGGCUCAACCCCGGAAAUGCGCCCGAGACUGUGUGGCUUGAGACCGGGAGAGGAGAGUGGAAUUCCCAGUGUAGAGGUGAAAUUCGU